Molecule: ribosomal RNA, 468 nt
Filed under: uncultured bacterium
Lineage: Bacteria
Description: partial 16S ribosomal RNA
Rfam family: Bacterial small subunit ribosomal RNA
Source: RNAcentral
GACGAACGCUGGCGGCGUGCUUAACACAUGCAAGUCGAACGGAAAGGCCCUGCUUUUGUGGGGUGCUCGAGUGGCGAACGGGUGAGUAACACGUGAGUAACCUGCCCUUGACUUUGGGAUAACUUCAGGAAACUGGGGCUAAUACCGGAUAGGAGCUCCUGCUGCAUGGUGGGGGUUGGAAAGUUUCGGCGGUUGGGGAUGGACUCGCGGCUUAUCAGCUUGUUGGUGGGGUAGUGGCUUACCAAGGCUUUGACGGGUAGCCGGCCUGAGAGGGUGACCGGCCACAUUGGGACUGAGAUACGGCCCAGACUCCUACGGGAGGCAGCAGUGAGGAAUAUUGCACAAUGGGCGGAAGCCUGAUGCAGCAACGCCGCGUGCGGGAUGACGGCCUCCGGGUUGUAAACCGCUUUCGCCUGUGACGAAGCGUGAGUGACGGUAAUGGGUAAAGAAGCACCGGCUAACUACGUG